Molecule: small nuclear RNA, 103 nt
Organism: Pteronotus mesoamericanus
Lineage: Eukaryota; Metazoa; Chordata; Mammalia; Chiroptera; Mormoopidae
Source: RefSeq, a predicted model, not a curated record
GUACUCACUUUGGCAGUACAUAUACUAAAAUUGGAACAAUACAGAGAAGAUUAACAUGGCUUCUGUGCAAAGAUGACAAACUUGUGAAGCGUUCCAUACUUUU